AAGGCCCCUUCGGGGGUACACGAGCGGCGAACGGGUGAGUAACACGUGAGUAAUCUGCCCUUCACUUCGGGAUAACCACCGGAAACGGUGGCUAAUACCGGAUACGACCAGUCCUUGCAUGAGGUGCUGGUGGAAAGUCUUUUCGGUGGAGGAUGUGCUCGCGGCCUAUCAGCUUGUUGGUGGGGUAAUGGCCUACCAAGGCUUCGACGGGUAGCCGGCCUGAGAGGGUGACCGGCCACACUGGGACUGAGACACGGCCCAGACUCCUACGGGAGGCAGCAGUGGGGAAUAUUGGACAAUGGGCGAAAGCCUGAUCCAGCAACGCCGCGUGAGGGAUGACGGCCUUCGGGUUGUAAACCUCUUUCAGUAUCGACGAAGCGCCCUGUCGGGUGGUGACGGUAGAUACAGAAGAAGGACCGGCCAACUACGUGCCAGCAGCCGCGGUAAUACGUAGGGUCCGAGCGUUGUCCGGAAUUAUUGGGCGUAAAGGGCUCGUAGGCGGUUUGUCACGUCGGGAGUGAAAUCUUACAGCUUAACUGUGAACUUGCUUUCGAUACGGGCAGACUUGAGGCAUUCAGGGGAGAACGGAAUUCCUGGUGUAGCGGUGAAAUGCGCAGAUAUCAGGAGGAACACCGGUGGCGAAGGCGGUUCUCUGGGAAUGUUCUGACGCUGAGGAGC
RNAcentral lists this ribosomal RNA (678 nucleotides) under uncultured Actinomycetes bacterium. RNAcentral's name for it is "bacterial SSU rRNA". It matches the Rfam family "Bacterial small subunit ribosomal RNA", at positions 71 to 754 of the family's 1533-position model. Lineage: Bacteria; Bacillati; Actinomycetota; Actinomycetes. The record is from RNAcentral.